UACGAAGGGUGCAAGCGUUACUCGGAAUUACUGGGCGUAAAGCGCGCGUAGGCGGACCUGCAAGUCGGGGGUGAAAGCCCGAGGCUCAACCUCGGAACUGCCUUCGAUACUGCGGGUCUCGAGUCCGGGAGAGGUGAGUGGAAUUCCUAGUGUAGAGGUGAAAUUCGUAGAUAUUAGGAAGAACACCAGUGGCGAAGGCGGCUCACUGGCCCGGUACUGACGCUGAGGUGCGAAAGCGUGGGGAGCAAACAGG
This 253-nucleotide ribosomal RNA is filed under the name uncultured bacterium. RNAcentral's name for it is "partial 16S ribosomal RNA". It matches the Rfam family "Bacterial small subunit ribosomal RNA", at positions 524 to 776 of the family's 1533-position model. The record is from RNAcentral.